Molecule: non-coding RNA, 1586 nt
Organism: Podarcis lilfordi (Lilford's wall lizard)
Lineage: Eukaryota; Metazoa; Chordata; Lepidosauria; Squamata; Lacertidae
Source: the annotation of a GenBank genome assembly
GUUUAAGAGUGCCAGAGCCAGCUGGCUCUCAUCAGUGCCUUUUCCUCUGUGGAGGCUGAUCAGCUGCAGGUGGAAUCACUCACCUUCUCCCCCUUCAGGCUGCUGUUCAGCAAGUGAAGCUGACCUCUGGCCCAUAACAAGCAAACUAAAACGUCGAUCCAACCAGCAAGCAAGACAUGUCCUGGAAUCCUAUCAUAUGGGAAUGAGAAUGGCGCAACUUAGCACGGCAAAGGGGACUGGGAAAGCGAAAAUGCAGCCCUCUGUGAAGGCUGAGCCUGAACUAUCUGUUCACACCUGCACUGGGGUGAUGAAGAUGACAUUGCAAACACUCGGGAACAGAGUGACAGCCUCCUGCUGGUGGCAUGCUCUGGUAAUGCUAUAGGUGGAGUUGGCAUAAUAGGCAGAGCAUGUGCAGGUGCCCUACACUGUGAUGACUUGUGGGACAGGGCAAGAGGCAGGCACCCCACUAGGACCUUUCCUGAGAUCCACUUCCCCAAGCAGCUCCCUGGGCUCCCUAGACCCUGGUAUGCUCUGCCCCAACCUAUUGGAUCUCCCCCCUCCCAGGAUCGUAUGGGGCCAACUACUCCCUUUAGUUUUCAUCUGGCCAGUCCCUGUCCACCACAGCCCCAAUGCUUCCCCAUUGCCCAGGACAAACACAUAUAGUAUGGGGCAAUGGCAACAUAUGGUUUUAUUGCAUUGUUUGUUUUCUAUUGCAUAUUUCUAACCUUUGUUCCACCAAAGAACCCAAGGCUAUGUUUGGGUGGACACGGAUCAGGCCCAGACCUGCUGUACCUUCAGUAGAUCUGUGGCCUCGGGUGCCUUCAAAUCAUAGCCAGGGACUAUCCUCAUACUGUAACCGAUCUUAAACAAAAAUCCAGUCACAUGACUCAAGCACCUUCUGUUGGGAAUAAUUUUUAAAAAGAGUGGUUAAUCUCCAGUGUAAUGAUUCAGUUGUAAUCUUUGAAUGGGCUCUAUGAUCUGGAGAGGAACUCCACAAGUUAACGGCUCAUAAGACAGAGGUCCCAUACCUGAUAGAAAUAUAUCAGAGUUAAUGUAAACACAGGGAAAACAGGAUUUAAGAAUUUCACUAUGGUGGCUUUUGAAAUAGGCCCAAGGGUCUUCACUACACUGUGAGGCGCUAAUUUACCUGGGAACUUCAUAGUUGCUAUGGUAAUUGGCUCUCAAGAUGUCCCCAAAAUACCUCUUAUGCAGUUGUAGCCAUAGGUUAAUUUAAUAUUCUUAUUGCUAAGCAAUACUUUGAUUCAGUGUCAUUAUGUUUUGAGUUAUAUAUUUCUGUCUGGAAAUGUCAAGGCAAUUCAUCCCUAUUCGUUUUUAGGACUUUUGUGUUCUUCUUGUUUAAAAAGAGUUAAUUGCAUUUUCCCCUCUGGCACAAUUUAUUUGUCUGGGUUUUAUUUGUAGGUGGAAAGAACAGCAACAGGACACUGAGCUGAAAAGCAAAUGAUAUCAGCCUGGAACAUGAAAUUAAGUGUGUAAUUUAGGGCACUACUAGACAGUAGUAGUUCUAUGUAUUGUGUGGCAAGAGGUCUCCCCUACCCUUCGUUCCUUCCCAAUACCAAGAAUAAGAG